This is a non-coding RNA of Pelobates cultripes (western spadefoot toad), 559 nucleotides long. NCBI's taxonomy places the organism in Eukaryota, Metazoa, Chordata, Amphibia, Anura, Pelobatidae. The record is from the annotation of a GenBank genome assembly.
CAACUGUUCAUAACAAAACUUAGCUUACACUCUUCGUCUUAGUACAUUGAUAGAAAAUAAAUGUCAACCUUGCAGAUCUAGUGUUACCAAGUAUAUAGAGCUGGGGAGAAGGUCGCUAGCUAAAACCAGUAAAGUUUGCUGCAAGUCGAGCCCAUAGCGAUAACCAUGACGGUAAGUAGUCGGAAAUGGAAGAAGUUCCCUUAAUAAGCCUAUUCCAGGAAGUGGGAGCAUCUUGCAAUAUAAACCUCAGGUAACACUAUUGUUUAUAGGAGGGGGCUAGGUGGUUAUUUAGAUAUACUUACCUUUUUUUAAACCAAAUUUCCUAAAAUUGAAACUACGUAAUGUCGGUUAGAUUUGUGUUAACGUCCGUAACACGGGCGGCAAACAAACUGUAAAACAGAUGGUGGAACAUUUCAAAGCCAGAAUACUGUUUGCUGUGUUUAUACAUUGUUUGGUUAUCGAAAUGAUGUGCCAAAAACCACGUACUGCUCUGUAUAUAAAGAAAUCAUUAUAUUUCAUGGACACGUUGAGACAGACCCACUAAUAUCUGGUGACUGUG